CCUACGGGAGGCAGCAGUGAGGAAUAUUGGUCAAUGGCCGCAAGGCUGAACCAGCCAAGUCGCGUGAAGGAAGAAGGAUCUAUGGUUUGUAAACUUCUUUUAUAGGGGAAUAAAGGUAUCCACGUGUGGAUAUUUGCAUGUACCCUAUGAAUAAGCAUCGGCUAACUCCGUGCCAGCAGCCGCGGUAAUACGGAGGAUGCGAGCGUUAUCCGGAUUUAUUGGGUUUAAAGGGUGCGUAGGUUGUUUUUUAAGUCAGCGGUGAAAGUUUGUGGCUCAACCAUAAAAUUGCCGUUGAUACUGGAAGGCUUGAGUGUAUUUGAGGUAGGCGGAAUGCGUGGUGUAGCGGUGAAAUGCAUAGAUAUCACGCAGAACUCCGAUUGCGAAGGCAGCUUACUAAGCCAUAACUGACACUGAAGCACGAAAGCGUGGGGAUCAAACAGGAUUAGAUACCCCAGUAGUC
Molecule: ribosomal RNA, 460 nt
Filed under: uncultured bacterium
Lineage: Bacteria
Description: partial 16S ribosomal RNA
Rfam family: Bacterial small subunit ribosomal RNA
Source: RNAcentral